This 490-nucleotide ribosomal RNA is filed under the name uncultured bacterium. RNAcentral's name for it is "bacterial SSU rRNA". It matches the Rfam family "Bacterial small subunit ribosomal RNA", at positions 29 to 507 of the family's 1533-position model. The record is from RNAcentral.
AUGAACGCUAGCUACAGGCUUAACACAUGCAAGUCGAGGGGCAGCAUGGUCUUAGCUUGCUAAGGCCGAUGGCGACCGGCGCACGGGUGAGUAACACGUAUCCAACCUGCCGUCUACUCUUGGACAGCCUUCUGAAAGGAAGAUUAAUACAAGAUGGCAUCAUGAGUCCGCAUGUUCACAUGAUUAAAGGUAUUCCGGUAGACGAUGGGGAUGCGUUCCAUUAGAUAGUAGGCGGGGUAACGGCCCACCUAGUCUUCGAUGGAUAGGGGGUUCUGAGAGGAAGGUCCCCCACAUUGGAACUGAGACACGGUCCAAACUCCUACGGGAGGCAGCAGUGAGGAAUAUUGGUCAAUGGGCGAGAGCCUGAACCAGCCAAGUAGCGUGAAGGAUGACUGCCCUAUGGGUUGUAAACUUCUUUUAUAAAGGAAUAAAGUCGGGUAUGCAUACCCGUUUGCAUGUACUUUAUGAAUAAGGAUCGGCUAACUCCGUG